AUGACGGUGGCAGCGGCGGGCGCGGGCAGGCGUUACGCGCUGUUGCUGGCGGUGAACGACUCGGACUACGCCAGGAAGGCGCACGGCGGGUACCGGAACGUGUUCUUCCGCGCCCUCCGCUCCGGCGAACCCGACGAGGCGUGGGACUGCUACCGCGUAAUCGACGGCGAGUUCCCAGCAGCGGAGGAUCUGGGCAUGUACGACGGCUUCGUGGUGAGCGGCAGCCCGCACGACGCCCACGGCGACGGCGCCCCGUGCUGGGUCCGCCGCCUCUGCCUCCUCCUCCGGACCGUCCACGCCAUGGGGAAGCGCGUCCUCGGCGUCUGCUUCGGCCACCAGGCCCUGUGCCGCGCGCUGGGCGGGAGGGUCGGGAGGUCGCCCAGCGGCUGGGACGUGGGGGUGAAGGAGGUGACCUUCGUGGACGAUCUGGAAUGGCCGUUCGAGUUCUUGCCCGUGGAACCACCCCGGAGCGCCUCCAUCAUCGAGGUUCACCAAGAUGAGGUGUGGGAGGUACCGCCCGGUGGCAAGGUGCUGGCCUACUCCGACAAGACGCGCGUGGAGAUGUUCGCCGUCGGCGACAACGCCCUCGGCAUCCAGGGCCACCCGGAGUACACCAACGACAUCCUGCUCAACCUCACCAACCGGCUCGUCAACAACAGCACCAUCGACGGGUGCGUGGGCGAGGACGCGCGGAGGACUGCGGAGAGCGGCGAACCGGACCGCGAGUUCUGGAGUGGGCUCUGCAAGGCCUUCCUGAAGGGAUCAGGAUGCGCCGGCGGUGGCGGCCCCAGGCCGCCGCCGCAGGGACCGGCGGCGGAGCUUAGCUGCAGCCACCACGUCGCUCACUUCCCUGCCACCGGCUCCCUCAUUGGCUUGUAG
RNAcentral lists this ribosomal RNA (879 nucleotides) under Triticum aestivum (bread wheat). RNAcentral's name for it is "partial small subunit ribosomal RNA". The record is from RNAcentral. Lineage: Eukaryota; Viridiplantae; Streptophyta; Magnoliopsida; Poales; Poaceae.